CCUACGGGUGGCUGCAGUCGAGAAUCAUUCACAAUGGGGGAAACCCUGAUGCUGCGACGCCGCGUGGGGGAAUGAAGGUUUUCGGAUUGUAAACUUCUUUUGUUAGAGAAGAUAAUGACGGUAUCUAACGAAUAAGCAUCGGCUAACUCCGUGCAAGCAGCCGGGGUACUACGGAGGGUGCACGCGUUACUCGGAAUCACUGGGCGUAAAGGGCGCGUAGGCGGGAUAGCAAGUCAGAUGUGAAAUCCUAUGGCUUAACCAUAGAACUGCAUUUGAAACUGGUAUUCUAGAGUAUGGGAGAGGUAGGUGGAAUUCUUGGUGUAGGGGUAAAAUCCGUAGAGAUCAAGAGGAAUACUGAUUGCGAAGGCAACCUGCUAGAACAUAACUGACGCUGAGGCGCGAACGCGUGGGGAGCAAACAGGAUUAGAUACCCCAGUAGUC
RNAcentral lists this ribosomal RNA (441 nucleotides) under uncultured bacterium. Its description in RNAcentral is "partial 16S ribosomal RNA". It matches the Rfam family "Bacterial small subunit ribosomal RNA", at positions 338 to 795 of the family's 1533-position model. The record is from RNAcentral.